AACGAACGCUGGCGGCAUGCCUAACACAUGCAAGUCGAACGAGACCUUCGGGUCUAGUGGCGCACGGGUGCGUAACGCGUGGGAACCUGAACUUAGGUUCGGAAUAACUCCCCGAAAGGGGUGCUAAUACCGGAUAAUGUCUUAGGACCCAAGAUUUAUCGCCUUUGGAUGGGCCCGCGUUGGAUAAGCUCGUGGGUAGGGUAAAAGCCUACCAAGGCGACGAUCCAUAGCUGGUCUGAGAGGAUGGUCAGCCACACUUGGACUGAGACGCGGCCCAGACUCCUACGGGAGGCAGCAGUGGGGAAUAUUGGACAAUGGGCGAAAUCCUGAUCCAGCAAUGCCGCGUGAGUGAUGAAGGCCUUAGGGUUGUAAAGCUCUUUUACCCGGGAUGAUAAUGACGGUACCGGGAGAAUAAGCUCCGGCUAACUCCGUG
Molecule: ribosomal RNA, 433 nt
Filed under: uncultured bacterium
Lineage: Bacteria
Description: partial 16S ribosomal RNA
Rfam family: Bacterial small subunit ribosomal RNA
Source: RNAcentral